GUGGUUUAAUUCGACGCUACGCGAAGAACCUUACCUGGACUUGAACUGCUGGAGGUAGGAGCCCGAAAGGGUAACGACCCGGAGCAAUCCGGGAACCAGCAGAGGUGCUGCAUGGCUGUCGUCAGCUCGUGUCGUGAGAUGUUGGGUUAAGUCCCGCAACGAGCGCAACCCUUGCCCUUAGUUGCCAGCGGGUAAUGCCGGGCACUCUAAGGGGACGCCCCGGAUAACGGGGAGAAGGCGGGGAUGACGUCAAGUCAGCAUGGCCUUUAUAUCCAGGGCUACACACGUGCUACAAUGGGCGGUACAGAGGGAGGCAAAGCCGCGAGGUAGAGCUAAUCCCUAAAGCCGUCCUCAGUUCGGAUCGCAGGCUGCAACUCGCCUGCGUGAAGUCGGAAUCGCUAGUAACCGCGGAUCAGCUACGCCGCGGUGAAUACGUUCUCGGGCCUU
RNAcentral lists this ribosomal RNA (447 nucleotides) under uncultured Aminicenantes bacterium. RNAcentral's name for it is "bacterial SSU rRNA". It matches the Rfam family "Bacterial small subunit ribosomal RNA", at positions 941 to 1382 of the family's 1533-position model. Lineage: Bacteria; Candidatus Aminicenantota. The record is from RNAcentral.